RNAcentral lists this non-coding RNA (117 nucleotides) under Gorilla gorilla gorilla (western lowland gorilla). The record is from Rfam by way of RNAcentral. Lineage: Eukaryota; Metazoa; Chordata; Mammalia; Primates; Hominidae.
GCCGGGCGUGGUGACUCACGCCUGUAAUCCCAGCCCUUUGGGAGGCUGAGGCGGGUGGAUCACCUGAGGUCAGGAGUUUGAGACCAGCCUGGCCAACAUGGUAAAACCCCGUCUCUA